This 77-nucleotide transfer RNA is filed under the name Pseudomonadota bacterium. RNAcentral describes it as "tRNA-Met". It matches the Rfam family "tRNA". Rfam says of the family: Transfer RNA (tRNA) molecules are approximately 80 nucleotides in length. Their secondary structure includes four short double-helical elements and three loops (D, anti-codon, and T loops). RNAcentral also lists the same sequence under 5 other names. Lineage: Bacteria; Pseudomonadati; Pseudomonadota. The record is from RNAcentral.
CGCGGGGUGGAGCAGUCUGGUAGCUCGUCGGGCUCAUAACCCGGAGGUCGUUGGUUCGAAUCCAGCCCCCGCUACCA